Molecule: transfer RNA, 73 nt
Rfam family: tRNA
About the family: Transfer RNA (tRNA) molecules are approximately 80 nucleotides in length. Their secondary structure includes four short double-helical elements and three loops (D, anti-codon, and T loops).
Source: Rfam
GGGCUCAUAGCUCAGUUGGAAGAGCGCCACCCUUGUGGGGUGGAGGCCAUAGGUUCAAAUCCUAUUGAGUCCA